GAUGAACGCUGGCGGCGUGCCUAAUACAUGCAAGUCGAGCGAACGGACGAGAAGCUUGCUUCUCUGAUGUUAGCGGCGGACGGGUGAGUAACACGUGGAUAACCUACCUAUAAGACUGGGAUAACUUCGGGAAACCGGAGCUAAUACCGGAUAAUAUUUUGAACCGCAUGGUUCAAAAGUGAAAGACGGUCUUGCUGUCACUUAUAGAUGGAUCCGCGCUGCAUUAGCUAGUUGGUAAGGUAACGGCUUACCAAGGCAACGAAGCAUAGCCGAACUGAGAGGGGGAUCGGCCACACGGGAACUUAGACACGGUCCAGACUCCUACGGGAGGCAGCAGUAGGGAAUCGUCCGCAGUAGGCGAAAGCCUGACGGAGCAACGCCGCGUGAGUGAUGAAGGUCUUCGGAUCGUAAAACUCUGUUAUUAGGGAAGAACAUAUGUGUAAGUAACUGUGCACAUCGUGACGGUACCUAAUCAGAAAGCCACGGCUAACUACGUG
RNAcentral lists this ribosomal RNA (497 nucleotides) under uncultured bacterium. RNAcentral's name for it is "partial 16S ribosomal RNA". It matches the Rfam family "Bacterial small subunit ribosomal RNA", at positions 28 to 507 of the family's 1533-position model. The record is from RNAcentral.